GGGGAUGAAAGGCUUCGACGGAAGAGGCUGACCCCGGACUGCGAGCCGAGAGGCGCUGAAUCUCGUAAAAUCAGCGCAAACUUUAAGUGCCAACCGCACUGAAUACGCUGCUAUGCCUCUCGCUGCAUAAGCAUGAGGAAAGCAGACGGUUACUGUAGAAAGUAACCUCGUCCACCUGCUCCUAACUCCUGCUGGAGUGGACUGGACGUCGGAAAGCGGGAGUGCACCCCGGUGACGCCGCUACCCGGGCUUAAGAGGGACCUUUGGCUCCCAGCGGCUAGUCAGUUGAAGCUUUCGUUCGGUGUAGCUCAGCUGAUAAUCACAAACGCCAAACUACGCUCGUAGACGUCCGAGCGGUCGAGACUUUCGGACGCGGGUUCGAUUCCCGCCAUCUCCACCU
This 400-nucleotide transfer-messenger RNA is filed under the name Anaerolineales. RNAcentral's name for it is "B10-G9 sp018335275 Standard tmRNA". It matches the Rfam family "transfer-messenger RNA". Rfam says of the family: Bacterial tmRNA, also known as 10Sa RNA or SsrA, is named for its dual tRNA and mRNA-like properties. Its role is to liberate the mRNA from a stalled ribosome. To accomplish this part of the tmRNA is used as a reading frame that ends in a translation stop signal. RNAcentral also lists the same sequence under 1 other name. The record is from RNAcentral. Lineage: Bacteria; Bacillati; Chloroflexota; Anaerolineae.